Vicia villosa (hairy vetch) is the source of this 1737-nucleotide long non-coding RNA. RefSeq lists it as uncharacterized. Lineage: Eukaryota; Viridiplantae; Streptophyta; Magnoliopsida; Fabales; Fabaceae. The transcript has 3 exons. The record is from RefSeq and is a predicted model, not a curated record.
AUUAAUCACCAUUAAUCACAUUAACACUUACAAUCAAUUGAAUUAACAAAAGAAAAUGGAUUUAGGGUUAAAGGUUUACAUGAAUUGGAACUCGUUUGAAGCUCAGACUCGCCUCCCUCCUUCUCUCGAACGACGGCCGAUACUUACCGGUGAAGACCCUUCCUCCGCCUUCGCGAGUCAAUCACAAGCUCUUCUCUCACCGCCUCUCAUCUCUCGAUGGCGCUGUAAGCUUCCUACGGCGAGAUUCUUCCCUCCGAUCAUCUCUCAUCUCAUCUUGCGACCGGAGACCAGUCUGAGGUGCCUUCGCUCACAAAUCCGACGAAUCUCGAGAGUGAAGAAUUGAAUCGUGAAUUUGGUGGUGAAUCGAGAGAGAAAGAUUGAGGAAAGCGUUGAAGAUUAUUGAUGAUUGAUGAUGAUGUUUGCGGAUUCGGUGAUGAUGAUUGUUGAAGCGCGUGUUGAACGAUUCUGAGUUUUUCUUGUUAUUUACAUUGAUGAAGGUGAUAAGGUGCAAAGAUGAAUUCGUGAAGGUUAUUGAAGAAGGUUGAAGAGGUUCUUGUGAAUUGCAGAAAGUGAUGAAGAUGAAGUUGAAGUUUGAAGGAGCGUGUGCAGGAUUUCCGAAGUGAAGAUGAUGAUUCAGAGUUUGUUACAGAUGAAGAUUGAAGAAGAUUUCAGGAGAGAGAGAGAUGAAUCCCGAGUGAAUUGCAGAGAGAGAGGAGUUGGUUACAGCAGGAAUCAGUUCUUUUGGGAGUUGAUAUGGUGCGGUUGGAGAAUUGUUUCGAAAGUAUCCAUGAACUUCUGACUGAUUUUGUAAUAUAUGGAUUUGAGAGCAAAAUUUGUGAUUUUGUGAUUUUGUUUCAUUGCUUCAGAACUUGUUUUUUUUCGAUACUAAAUUCAUGAUUGGGAGUGUAUGUAAUUUGGAUUCUGGAAUGUAUACACUCUUUGAGAAUUUUUUUAUUGUCAUGAAUUGUAUGGACUUGCAAUGCUUUGUAACCUUGCAGACUCGUAACUUCAAUGAACAAAAUCCCUCGAUUAUUCAAAACAAUCUUUUCUUUUAAAAUGAAUUUGAAGUCCCAAACCGCUUCGACAAAUGUCUUACAUACCGUCCCUAGUCACGGCGUGAAUCCAACAACACGUUUGCCAACACAACAAAACUUUGAAAUAAUGACUUGAAUCUUGAAAUUUGUGUGCUCAAAAACCAUAUGAAUGAACCUUCCCUUUUAGCAAGCUCGAAUUAAUUCUUGACAAAUCAUACGAUUAAGAACAAACCGAUUAAUCUUGAACACAAACCUAAAUUCAUGUCAUUAAGUAGUCCUUGAAUCGACACAACUUUAUACUCCAUACUUGCGCAAGAAUGUGAGUUAAAACCUUGUACGCCAUCUUAGAUCCAAGUUAAUUUAUAUUGCAAGUAAUGAGUUACAAUGAUGAGAAUAAAAACUUCUUUGAUCACAAUGAAUCUACAAGUUCAUCUCUCAUGUCAUGACUCGCAUUGGUAUUUCAAUCCACCGUAACAAUAAUGCUUUGAGGAAUUUUUGGGGAAGGUAAGAAUUGAUGCACAUAAGAACUUCUCCACAUGAAAUCCAAUGAAGUUCAGUUGAAUUAACUAUCGUAGACACCAUGUAUAAGAAACUCCUUAUUAUUUUUCUUCAAUUUUCGAACGACGAAAUAAACGGCGUCCAUAACUUAUAUCAUAGUGAAAGAGGGCAAAUUUUGGGGUGCAACAGUACCACAUGCAUGAGU